GAUGAACGCUGGCGGCGUGCCUAAUACAUGCAAGUCGAGCGAACAGACGAGGAGCUUGCUCCUCUGACGGUAGCGGCGGACGGGUGAGUAACACGUGGAUAACCUACCUAUAAGACUGGGAUAACUUCGGGAAACCGGAGCUAAUACCGGAUAAUAUAUUGAACCGCAUGGUUCAAUAGUGAAAGACGGUUUUGCUGUCACUUAUAGAUGGAUCCGCGCCGCAUUAGCUAGUUGGUAAGGUAACGGCUUACCAAGGCAACGAUGCGUAGCCGACCUGAGAGGAUGAUCGGCCACACUGGAACUGAGACACGGUCCAGACUCCUACGGGAGGCAGCAGUAGGGAAUAUUCCGCAAUGGGCGAAAGCCUGACGGAGCAACGCCGCGUGAGUGAUGAAGGUCUUCGGAUCGUAAAACUCUGUUAUUAGGGAAGAAAAAAUGUGUAAGUAACUAUGCACGUCUUGACGGUACCUAAUCAGAAAGCCCCGGCUAACUACGUG
RNAcentral lists this ribosomal RNA (497 nucleotides) under uncultured bacterium. Its description in RNAcentral is "partial 16S ribosomal RNA". It matches the Rfam family "Bacterial small subunit ribosomal RNA", at positions 28 to 507 of the family's 1533-position model. The record is from RNAcentral.